UGGGAAUAUUGCACAAUGGGCGCAAGCCUGAUGCAGCAACGCCGCGUGAGGGACGACGGCCUUCGGGUUGUAAACCUCUUUUAGUAGGGAAGAAGCGAAAGUGACGGUACCUGCAGAAAAAGCACCGGCUAACUACGUGCCAGCAGCCGCGGUAAUACGUAGGGUGCGAGCGUUGUCCGGAAUUAUUGGGCGUAAAGAGCUCGUAGGCGGUCUGUCGCGUCUGCUGUGAAAACCCGAGGCUCAACCUCGGGCCUGCAGUGGGUACGGGCAGACUAGAUGCGGUAGGGGAGAAUGGAAUUCCUGGUGUAGCGGUGGAAUGCGCAGAUAUCAGGAGGAACACCGAUGGCGAAGGCAGUUCUCUGGGCCGUAACUGACGCUGAGGAGCGAAAGCGUGGGGAGCGAACAGGAUUAGAUACCCUGGUAGUCCACGCCGUAAACGUUGGGCGCUAGAUGUGGGGACCAUUCCACGGUUUCCGUGUCGCAGCUAACGCAUUAAGCGCCCCGCCUGGGGAGUACGGCCGCAAGGCUAAAACUUAAAUGAAUUGACGGGGUCAUAGCUG
This 560-nucleotide ribosomal RNA is filed under the name uncultured bacterium. RNAcentral's name for it is "partial 16S ribosomal RNA". It matches the Rfam family "Bacterial small subunit ribosomal RNA", at positions 356 to 932 of the family's 1533-position model. The record is from RNAcentral.